ACCCUGAUCUAGCGAUGCCGCGUGUGUGACGAAGGCCUUAGGGUCGUAAAGCACUUUCGCCAGAGAUGAUAAUGACAGUAUCUGGUAAAGAAACCCCGGCUAACUCCGUGCCAGCAGCCGCGGUAAUACGGAGGGGGUUAGCGUUGUUCGGAAUUACUGGGCGUAAAGCGUACGUAGGCGGAUUAGUAAGUUAGAGGUGAAAUCCCAGGGCUCAACCCUGGAACUGCCUUUAAUACUGCUAGUCUAGAGUUCGAGAGAGGUGAGUGGAAUUCCAAGUGUAGAGGUGAAAUUCGUAGAUAUUUGGAGGAACACCAGUGGCGAAGGCGGCUCACUGGCUCGAUACUGACGCUGAGGUACGAAAGUGUGGGGAGCAAACAGGAUUAGAUACCCUGGUAGUCCACACCGUAAACGAUGAAUGCCAGUCGUCGGGUAGUAUACUAUUCGGUGACACACCUAACGGAGUAAGCAUUCCGCCUGGGGAGUACGGUCGCAAGAUUAAAACUCA
Molecule: ribosomal RNA, 505 nt
Filed under: Nereida ignava
Lineage: Bacteria; Pseudomonadati; Pseudomonadota; Alphaproteobacteria; Rhodobacterales; Roseobacteraceae
Description: bacterial SSU rRNA
Rfam family: Bacterial small subunit ribosomal RNA
Source: RNAcentral